This 491-nucleotide ribosomal RNA is filed under the name uncultured bacterium. RNAcentral's name for it is "partial 16S ribosomal RNA". It matches the Rfam family "Bacterial small subunit ribosomal RNA", at positions 29 to 506 of the family's 1533-position model. The record is from RNAcentral.
AGUGAACGCUGGCGGUAGGCCUAACACAUGCAAGUCGAACGGCAGCACAGUAAGAGCUUGCUCUUACGGGUGGCGAGUGGCGGACGGGUGAGGAAUACAUCGGAAUCUACUUUUUCGUGGGGGAUAACGUAGGGAAACUUACGCUAAUACCGCAUACGACCUACGGGUGAAAGCAGGGGAUCUUCGGACCUUGCGCGAUUGAAUGAGCCGAUGUCGGUUUAGCUAGUUGGCGGGGUAAAGGCCCACCAAGGCGACGAUCCGUAGCUGGUCUGAGAGGAUGAACAGCCACACUGGAACUGAGACACGGUCCAGACUCCUACGGGAGGCAGCAGUGGGGAAUAUUGGACAAUGGGCGCAAGCCUGAUCCAGCCAUACCGCGUGGGUGAAGAAGGCCUUCGGGUUGUAAAGCCCUUUUGUUGGGAAAGAAAAGCAGCAGGUUAAUACCCCGCUGUUCUGACGGUACCCAAAGAAUAAGCACCGGCCAACUUCGU